This 759-nucleotide long non-coding RNA is filed under the name Bos taurus (domestic cattle). RNAcentral's name for it is "long non-coding RNA NONBTAT026323". Lineage: Eukaryota; Metazoa; Chordata; Mammalia; Artiodactyla; Bovidae. The record is from RNAcentral.
GUUACCUUGAGAGAAAGGUGCAUCAGCCUGAUUGGUUGAUUUGGGGACUACCUAAGCCCUUUCCUAGAGACCAAGGUGAGUAGCAAUACUGCUGUCUUGUACUCUUGUUAUUUUAAAAAUGGUUCUUGUGGCUCAGGCUGUCUUCUGUUUUACUCCCUCUCAGAAAAGAGUUAGUCACAGAUGCCACAGAAGAAAGGGAAACCAAUGUAACAUCAACUCUGAGUUAUAGGGUUUGCAUUAUAUAUAUAUAAUGCAUAGACAUUGUCAAUAAAACUAGAUAUUUUGUUUCAUUUCCAUAAACCAAAGCAGAGAAAUAUGUUAACUGUUUCAAGGUUCCAUGGAUAACUGGGGUACUCUUAAUCAUACCUAGAGGUAAAUAUUUUUAAGCGAAUGAUUGUUUUACCAGUAUAAUCAGCAGUUCCAUAUGGUGUUAAAGAAUGUAGUUUCUUGAUAAGUUUAUCAUUUAUUGAAAUUAUUGUAUUGGCAAGUUUUUGUCUUAAUUUGACUAGAAUUAGAGAAAUAAAACUUUAAGUUGAAUAGCAUCCAUUAGGAACUGUUAAUAUAGAAUAAUACAAUGGGAAACUGACUAUUAUAUGAUUCUGGUGGUGGUAAGAAUGCCUAGACUUUGGCUUGAUAUAUGGAAACAUUUGUCUAGGGCCUAGACCAUUUGAAAUAAAAUACUGGGGUAGAUCUAAUUCUUGUUUAUGGCAAUAUCCAGUUCAAAUAAUUUAAGAAGUAUCAUUGAUGAGGGUGAAAGAC